GAUAUCUAGGUCAAGUUCGAAAGUGGGUCACAUGCCGUUAAAAACUAGGUCAGUAGGUCAAAUAAUAGAAAAACCUUGUGACCUCUCUAAAGGCCAUAUUUUUCAUGGGAUCUGUAUGAAAGUUGGUCUGAAUGUUCAUCUUAAUGAUAUCUAGGUCAAGUUUGAAAGUGGGUCACAUGCCUUCAAAAACUAGGUCAGUAGGUCAAAUAAUAGAAAAACCUUGUGACCUCUCUAAAGGCCAUAUUUUUCAUGGGAUCUGUAUGAAUGUUGGUCUGAAUGUUCAUCUUGAUGAUAUCUAGGUCAAGUUCAAAACUGGGUCAUGUGCGGUCAAAAACUAGGUCAGUAGGUCAAAUAAUAGAAAAACCUUGUGACCUCUCUAGAGGCCAUACUUGUGAAUGGAUCUCCAUAAAAAUUGCUCAGAAUGUUCAUCUUGAUGAUAUCUAGGUCAAGUUCGAAACUGGGUCAAGUGCCCUCAAAAAGUAGGUCAGUAGGUCAAAUAAUGAAAAAACGUUGUGACCUCCCUAGAGGCCAUAUUUUUCAUGGGAUCUGUAUGAAAGUUGGUCUGAAUGUUUAACUUGAUGAUAUAUAGGUCAAGUUUAAAAGUGGGUCAACUGCGAUCAAAAACUAGGUCAGUAGGUCUUGAAAUAGAAAAACCUUGUGACCUCUCUAGAGGCCAUACCCUUGAAUGGAUCUUCAUGAAAAUUGGUCAGAAUGUUCACCUUGAUGAUAUCUAGGUCAAGUUUGAAACUGGGUCACGUGCGGUCAUAAACUAGGUCAGUAGGUCUAAAAUUAUUAAAAUGUUUUGACCUCUCUAGAGGCCAUAUUUUUCAAUGGAUCUUCAUGAAAAUUGAUCUGAAUGUUCACCUUGAUGAUAUCUAGGUCAGUUAGGAAACUGGGUCACGUGCGGUCAAAAACUAGGCCAGUAGAUAUAAAAAUAGAAAAACCUUGUGACCUCUUUAGAGGCCAUAUUUUUCAUGAGAUUUUCAUGAAAAUUAGUGAGAAUGUUCACCUUGAUGAUAUCUAGGUAAAGUUCAAAACAGGGUCACGUACCUUCGAAAACUAGGUCAAUAGGUCAAAUAAUAGAAAAACCUUGUGACCUCUCUAGAGACAAUACUUUUCAAUGGAUCUUCAUGAAAAUUGGUCAGAAUUUUUAUCUUGAUAAUAUCUAGGUCAAGUUCUAAACUGGGUCACAUGAGCUCAAAAACUAGGUCACUAUGUCAAAUAAUAGAAAAAACGACGUCAUACUCAAAAAUGGGUCAUGUGGAAAGAGGUGAGCGAUUCAGGACCAUCUUGGUCCUCUUGUAUGUAUUUAACUUGUGUGUGUGUGUGUGUUUGUGUGUGUGUGUGUGUGGUUUAAGUGAAAAAUGCAUGUUAAAUGCAUUAUCUUUCUAGUAAAAGAUUAAAGUUUCAGAUCUAUUAUGCAACUACAUUAAUAUGUAUAAUAUGUGACUAGGUCCUACUGUAAGCAUACACUAGGACUUACAUGAAAGCAUUCAGUCUUGGAUUAGGAUAUAGAACUCUAGGAAGGAGCCAUCCAGAUAGUAUAUGGAAGGUCAUUGGUUCUACCCAGUGCUUGCCAGUGCCGGAUAUAGUACUUGGAGGAACACCUGGUGCCUUCAUACAUACAAAAAAGUUAGAUAAAUUGCAGAAUGAUUUUAACUGUUUCUUGUGUAUCUUUAAACACAACAAAAUAAGUAUCCGUGGUUAUGCUGGAGAUCAGGGUUGUGGUCAUAUCUUACCAUGAUAUGGUUAAUUUAGAGAAACAGACCAUGGAACUUUGUGUAUGGCUGAAAGCAUUGUUAAUCCUUGCAGCUAUGUGCAUGUGAUUUCUAUAAGAUAGUUAGUUAUUUGUACAUCAGGGUUGUAUGAUUGUAAAGUUAUCACUUAUUAUAUUUAUAUGAAUAUUGCUUACUCACCUGGACAUUUAACAUACAAGCUACUUAAAGCUGCACAUGUUGAAUAUUUGGAACUUAUGUGCACAGUAGUUGUUAACCAGGGUUUCAUAUUGACUGAUCAGUGGAUGUAUAUGAUAAAGUCCUCCCAGAGUCAUGGUAUCUGAUCUCUUUACAUUCUAUGUAUUUCGGUUAUGCUAUAGCAGAUUGAACCAUGAAAUAUAAGAAAUGAUUAAGUAUUUACUAAGUGAUUAGAGUCAACAUGGCCUAUUUUGUUUAUAGCAAGGUGAAAUAUUGAAUAUACUGAAACUGUUACUAAAAAUAGAAAAACGAUUUAGGCAAACAUGCUUCAAAAUUGACAAAAAUAACUAUUAGGUGACUUGUUCUCAGUUGGGAUAAACCUGAUGAGCUUGUAUAAAUUCCACAAAUGUUUUACCAUUAUUGGUUGUUCUGUUGUUUCUUUGAUCAGUAGAUACUGUCUGUUUUUGUUUUUCCUUGUUUUGUUUUUGGUUUCCGCCAUCUAUCACAGUGAAGCUGUAAAUAGUAAACACACAAACUAUGCAUGAGAACGUGAUUUCUAUGUGAAGUACAAAGGUUUUUUAGAAACUGUCUGGAAUGGUCAUGUGACAUUUCCUCUGUUUCCUGGCUCAGUCAGAAGGAGAGGUACCAGGUGGGGUUUGAAAAUAAUACCAACCAUGAUACUCUACAAAACUUGUUUUCUGUUGUUUUCUCAUUGUUUAAUACAUGCAAAAAAAAACAAUAAAUGAUGUCUAUUUCUGUAA
Molecule: long non-coding RNA, 2674 nt
Organism: Mercenaria mercenaria
Lineage: Eukaryota; Metazoa; Mollusca; Bivalvia; Venerida; Veneridae
Exons: 2
Source: RefSeq, a predicted model, not a curated record